RNAcentral lists this transfer RNA (73 nucleotides) under Felis catus (domestic cat). It matches the Rfam family "tRNA". From Rfam's summary of the family: Transfer RNA (tRNA) molecules are approximately 80 nucleotides in length. The record is from Rfam by way of RNAcentral. Lineage: Eukaryota; Metazoa; Chordata; Mammalia; Carnivora; Felidae.
GCCUGGCUGGCCCAGUCGGUAGAGCAUGGGGCUCUUGGUCUCAGAGUUGUGAGUUCGAGCCCCAUGUUGGGUG